GCAAGUCGAGGGGUAACAGAGUAGCUUGCUACUGCUGACGACCGGCGCACGGGUGCGUAACGCGUAUACAAUCUACCUUAAACUGGAGAAUAGCCCUAAGAAAUUGGGAUUAAUGCUCCAUAGUAAUAUAUCAUUGCAUAUUGAUAUGUUUAAAGUUUCGACGGUUUAAGAUGAGUAUGCGUCCUAUUAGCUAGAUGGUAAGGUAACGGCUUACCAUGGCAACGAUAGGUAGGGGGCCUGAGAGGGUUAUC
RNAcentral lists this ribosomal RNA (251 nucleotides) under uncultured bacterium. Its description in RNAcentral is "partial 16S ribosomal RNA". It matches the Rfam family "Bacterial small subunit ribosomal RNA", at positions 57 to 305 of the family's 1533-position model. The record is from RNAcentral.